Eucalyptus grandis is the source of this 2126-nucleotide RNA transcript. RefSeq lists it as uncharacterized. The transcript is spliced from 3 exons. Lineage: Eukaryota; Viridiplantae; Streptophyta; Magnoliopsida; Myrtales; Myrtaceae. The record is from RefSeq and is a predicted model, not a curated record.
GUCACGCACUCCAACCGCUGCAAGAGCAGGAGAAGCAGCAGAAGAAGAAGCAGAAAACGCAGUCCCGCUCUCCUCCUCCUCCUGCUUUUCAGCAUCUCUCUCUCUCUCUGUACCUCCAUGAAAUUGACUCCUUCCCCUGCCUUUCUCUCUCUAGAACCGUGACAGACCCGCCAUCCUCCUUCCCUCUCUUUCUCUCUCUUCCCUCUGAAAAGUGAGAACCCACCUUGGGAGCCCUCCCAUGGAGAGAAAGCAGGGCUUCUUCUCCGCCCUCAAGGACGAGGUGGUCCGCGGCCUCUCCCCCUCCCGCCGCCGCCCCCUCCUCCCGCCCCGCCAGCCCCUCCCGCCACGCCUCCCCCAUUUCCGCCCUGCUCCGCCGCGGCCGCGGCCGCCACGCCAAGGCGGCGGCUGGGUGGGGGGCCCCGCCGCCGCAGCCGCCGCCGCCCGAGCUGGCGAUCGUCCCGAGAUCCGGGAGCCUGACGCCGUUGAUGGAGGGCCCGGAUCCGGAGGGCGACCCGAAGAGGUGGGGCGGGAACGGCGGGUCGGGCCUGGGGCAGUGGGUGAAGGGCCAGCUCGGGAGGGCUCCGCCGGUGAGCUCCUCGUCGUCGUCGUCGUCGCCGGCGGCGUCGUCGUCGGCGUCGGCGUCGUCGGGGAAGAGGAGCGACGUGAGGAUGCUGAUUGGGGUGAUGGGCGCGCCGCUCGCCCGGUGCAUGUUAGCGUCCUCGACCCUCUGCCUCACCUCAGCGUCAAGGACACUCCUAUCGAAACGUCAUCUGCUCAAUACAUACUGCAACAGUACACAGCUGCAUCAGGUGGUCUAAAGCUCCAGAACUCCAUCCGAAAUGCCUAUGCAUUAGGAAAGUUGAAGAUGGUGAGUUCGGAGUUUGAAAGUGCAAUGAAGGCUAUAAAAAACCGGAGUUCUGCACAUACAGGUGGUUUCGUGCUCUGGCAGAUGAACCCAGAUAUGUGGUACGUGGAGCUCGCAGUUGGUGGAAGUAAGGUCCAUGCUGGCUGUAACGGGAAACUCGUUUGGAGGCAUACUCCCUGGCUAGGCGCUCACACUGCAAAGGGGCCCGUAAGACCACUGCGCCGCGCCCUCCAGGGUCUUGACCCAAGAACCACGGUGAGUCUGUUUUCUGAUGCAAGAUGCAUUGGUGAGAAGAGGCUUAAUGGUGAGGACUGUUUUAUCCUGAAGCUAUGCGCUGACCCCCAGACAUUAAAGGCGAGGAGUGAGGGGCCUGCCGAGAUCAUAAGACACGUUCUGUUUGGCUAUUUCAGCCAGAAAACGGGACUCCUCGUCCGCAUCGAGGAUUCCCAUCUUACUCGUAUCCAAAUGAAUGGUGGAGAUGCUGCGUACUGGGAAACCACCAUCACUUCAUCCCUUGAUGACUACAGGCCCGUCGAAGGAAUCAUGAUUGCACAUGCAGGACGGUCAGUAGUGACCGUUUUCAGGUUUGGGGAGAUGGCAAUGAGCCAUACAAAAACUAGGAUGGAAGAAACUUGGACGAUCGAGGAGGUUGCAUUCAACAUUGCGGGCCUAUCAAUUGACUGCUUCAUCCCCCCUGCAGAUUUGAGAUCCGGUCCCAUCGGUGAAUCAUGUGAACUCACACAGGACACUGGGGGUAAAAGUAUGAUCCCACAGGCAUCACAUCGAGCGAGGGUAGCUGCUCUAGAGAAAGCGCACGACAGCAACGUUGAUGGUGUGAUCUGGAAGAUGGAAGUAUGAGAAUGAGUAGGACCGGAUUAGGGCAAACUGUUCAUACUAUGAGUUGCUAACCACAAAAGACUCACAAGUUAGGGAUUGAUUCAGACGGUUGGGUAUGCAUCUUUCGAUUUGUAAAUAUAGGAUGAUCAAUUGCAGGUCAAGUUCUGGGCCAAGUGAACCUUUUUUCCCCCUCCAUGUAGAAUCUGACGGGGUGCCGGAGUUCUGCGUACCCGGUCGGAAUAGAGCCGAUGGAGGUUGUUUUUUUGGGGUUUGCCUAACAUUAACGGACGUCGGGUUUUAAUUAGAUGGAGCUUUUGUAAAGCUGAACCAUUUGACAUUUUAUUAGUCUUACGAAUGGCAUGGCCUACAUGAGAGGCAUCAGUGAUGGUAAGCAAAAAUUAUCUCCCUGGUGAGAUUAUCUUGA